UACUGAAGGUGCAAGCGUUAAUCGGAAUUACUGGGCGUAAAGCGCGCGUAGGCGGUUUGUUAAGUUGGAUGUGAAAGCCCAGGGCUCAACCUUGGAACUGCAUCCGAUACUGGCAGGCUAGAAUAUAGGAGAGGGAGGUAGAAUUUCAGGUGUAGCGGUGAAAUGCGUAGAGAUCUGAAGGAAUACCAGUGGCGAAGGCGGAGCCUCCUCGGCCCUAAGUAUUGAACGCUGAGGUGCGGAAAGUGAUGGGUAGGCGAACAAGGAUUAGAUACCCCCGUACGUCC
This 284-nucleotide ribosomal RNA is filed under the name uncultured bacterium. RNAcentral describes it as "partial 16S ribosomal RNA". It matches the Rfam family "Bacterial small subunit ribosomal RNA", at positions 524 to 796 of the family's 1533-position model. The record is from RNAcentral.